GAUGAACGCUGGCGGCGUGCCUAAUACAUGCAAGUCGAGCGAAUGGAUUAAGAGCUUGCUCUUAUGAAGUUAGCGGCGGACGGGUGAGUAACACGUGGGUAACCUGCCCAUAAGACUGGGAUAACUCCGGGAAACCGGGGCUAAUACCGGAUAACAUUUUGAACCGCAUGGUUCGAAAUUGAAAGGCGGCUUCGGCUGUCGCUUAUGGAUGGACCCGCGUCGCAUUAGCUAGUUGGUGAGGUAACGGCUCACCAAGGCAACGAUGCGUCGCCGACCUGAGAGGGUGAUCGGCCACACUGGGACUGAGACACGGCCCAGACUCCUACGGGAGGCAGCAGUAGGGAAUCUUCCGCAAUGGACGAAAGUCUGACGGAGCAACGCCGCGUGAGUGAGGAAGGCUUUCGGGUCGUAAAACUCUGUUGUUAGGGAAGAACAAGUGCUAGUUGAAUAAGCUGGCACCUUGACGGUACCUAACCAGAAAGCCACGGCUAACUACGUGCCAGCCGCCGCCGUAA
This 515-nucleotide ribosomal RNA is filed under the name uncultured bacterium. RNAcentral's name for it is "partial 16S ribosomal RNA". It matches the Rfam family "Bacterial small subunit ribosomal RNA", at positions 28 to 523 of the family's 1533-position model. The record is from RNAcentral.